AUUUCUUUUCUUGAUUAGAGAAGAACAAACCGGAACUGUUUUGUUCGCUGGUCAAAUCUUCGAUCCUUCUGCUU
This 74-nucleotide small RNA is filed under the name Arabidopsis thaliana (thale cress). RNAcentral's name for it is "ATSL061790". Lineage: Eukaryota; Viridiplantae; Streptophyta; Magnoliopsida; Brassicales; Brassicaceae. The record is from RNAcentral.